AUUCAGCUGACGAGUCCCAAAUGAGACUAAACGCGCAUCCUGGAU
Molecule: non-coding RNA, 45 nt
Organism: Schistosoma mansoni
Lineage: Eukaryota; Metazoa; Platyhelminthes; Trematoda; Strigeidida; Schistosomatidae
Source: Rfam